GUGCUGCGGAGCCACCGUCUGGUCGUCGGGUUGAAGGCGUCUCUUGCUUUACCGAACUUUAACUGAUCGUAGUCUCAUUUAUUUCCUUCCGACCUAGAGCACCUCUUAUCCAGAAGCCACCACCUGCUGUUGCUCAGUCUGCCCAGGAGUAUAGACUUGUCGGCCAAGCUUCCCCUGGCAACCUGGGAGUUGAAGCAAAUAAGAAAAUUUGGAAGCACCUGCUGAAGGCUGUUUAGUACCCAGGGCUGUUGGGAGAUUUGCCCCAAUAAUAUAAAAGUAGCCUCCUGGGCUUUGUGCAGAGGAAAUACACAUGCAGAGUGAUCUAAAGCUCAGGUACCAGGAUGUAAAUGUCACACGGUUUCUCAGAACUGGUUUUUAUUCUCACCUGAGUUUUAAGGUCAUUGAUUAUUCAUCCUUUUCCUGGCCUCUGCUCUUUGCGAUAAAUGAGGUAGGGGGAGGGUGAUCAGAAACACUUGUAAAAUCUGGACCUUGAGCCUGAAAGAUCUGGAACUACCACUUUCAGUUCUGGUAGUA
Molecule: long non-coding RNA, 534 nt
Filed under: Homo sapiens (human)
Lineage: Eukaryota; Metazoa; Chordata; Mammalia; Primates; Hominidae
Description: non-protein coding lnc-EML4-10:1
Source: RNAcentral